CUACGGGUGGCUCCAGUGGGGAAUAUUGCACAAUGGGCGCAAGCCUGAUGCAGCCAUGCCGCGUGUAUGAAGAAGGCCUUCGGGUUGUAAAGUACUUUCAGCGGGGAGGAAGGGAGUAAAGUUAAUACCUUUGCCCAUUGACGUUACCCGCAGAAGAAGCACCGGCUAACUCCGUGCCAGCAGCUGCGGUAAUACGGAGGGUGCAAGCGUUAAUCGGAAUUACUGGGCGUAAAGCGCACGCAGGCGGUUUGUUAAGUCAGAUGUGAAAUCCCCGGGCUCAACCUGGGAACUGCAUCUGAUACUGGCAAGCUUGAGUCUCGUAGAGGGGGGUAGAAUUCCAGGUGUAGCGGUGAAAUGCGUAGAGAUCUGGAGGAAUACCGGUGGCGAAGGCGGCCCCCUGGACGAAGACUGACGCUCAGGUGCGAAAGCGUGGGGAGCAAACAGGAUUAGAUACCCCAGUAGUC
This 464-nucleotide ribosomal RNA is filed under the name uncultured bacterium. RNAcentral describes it as "partial 16S ribosomal RNA". It matches the Rfam family "Bacterial small subunit ribosomal RNA", at positions 339 to 795 of the family's 1533-position model. The record is from RNAcentral.